This 77-nucleotide antisense RNA is filed under the name Kosakonia radicincitans. RNAcentral describes it as "SymR antitoxin". It matches the Rfam family "SymR antitoxin". Lineage: Bacteria; Pseudomonadati; Pseudomonadota; Gammaproteobacteria; Enterobacterales; Enterobacteriaceae. The record is from RNAcentral.
AGUCAUAAUUACUAUUCCUCGUAAAUAGUGAUUGUGAUCAGCGGUGCGGGUGUGUUGCCGCACAUCCCCACCGCGCU